UACGGAGGGGGCUAGCGUUGUUCGGAAUUACUGGGCGUAAAGCGCACGUAGGCGGCUUUGUAAGUUAGAGGUGAAAGCCCAGGGCUUAACCCUGGAAUUGCCUUUAAGACUGCAUCGCUAGAAUCGUGGAGAGGUGAGUGGAAUUCCGAGUGUAGAGGUGAAAUUCGUAGAUAUUCGGAAGAACACCAGUGGCGAAGGCGACUCACUGGACAGGUAUUGACGCUGAGGUGCGAAAGCGUGGGGAGCAAACAGG
RNAcentral lists this ribosomal RNA (253 nucleotides) under uncultured bacterium. RNAcentral describes it as "partial 16S ribosomal RNA". It matches the Rfam family "Bacterial small subunit ribosomal RNA", at positions 524 to 776 of the family's 1533-position model. The record is from RNAcentral.